GGUCAAUUAGCUCAGUUGGUAGAGCACGACACUCAUAAUGUCGCUGUCACUGGUUCAAAUCCAGUAUUGACCAC
This 74-nucleotide transfer RNA is filed under the name Xanthomonas phage XbC2. Its description in RNAcentral is "tRNA-Met". It matches the Rfam family "tRNA". Rfam says of the family: Transfer RNA (tRNA) molecules are approximately 80 nucleotides in length. Their secondary structure includes four short double-helical elements and three loops (D, anti-codon, and T loops). Further hydrogen bonds mediate the characteristic L-shaped molecular structure. tRNAs have two regions of fundamental functional importance: the anti-codon, which is responsible for specific mRNA codon recognition, and the 3' end, to which the tRNAs corresponding amino acid is attached (by aminoacyl-tRNA synthetases). tRNAs cope with the degeneracy of the genetic code in two manners: having more than one tRNA (with a specific anti-codon) for a particular amino acid; and 'wobble' base-pairing, i.e. permitting non-standard base-pairing at the 3rd anti-codon position. Lineage: Duplodnaviria; Heunggongvirae; Uroviricota; Caudoviricetes. The record is from RNAcentral.